This 76-nucleotide unclassified non-coding RNA is filed under the name Pseudomonas moraviensis. The record is from RNAcentral. Lineage: Bacteria; Pseudomonadati; Pseudomonadota; Gammaproteobacteria; Pseudomonadales; Pseudomonadaceae.
AAAGAUCGCAGCCUUCGGCAGCUCCUACAGGGUGUACACCAUCCCGGUGUAGGAGCUGCCGAAGGCUGCGAUCUUU